This 253-nucleotide ribosomal RNA is filed under the name uncultured bacterium. RNAcentral describes it as "partial 16S ribosomal RNA". It matches the Rfam family "Bacterial small subunit ribosomal RNA", at positions 524 to 776 of the family's 1533-position model. The record is from RNAcentral.
UACGUAGGGUGCGAGCGUUGUCCGGAAUUAUUGGGCGUAAAGAGCUCGUAGGCGGUUUGUUGCGUCGGCCGUGAAAACCUGCAGCUUAACUGUGGGCCUGCGGCCGAUACGGGCAGACUUGAGUUCGGUAGGGGAGACUGGAAUUCCUGGUGUAGCGGUGAAAUGCGCAGAUAUCAGGAGGAACACCGGUGGCGAAGGCGGGUCUCUGGGCAACUACUGACGCUGAGGAGCGAAAGCGUGGGGAGCGAACAGG